ACUGCCGGUAAUAAACCGGAGGAAGGUGGGGAUGACGUCAAAUCAUCAUGCCCCUUAUGACCUGGGCUACACACGUGCUACAAUGGUUGGUACAACGAGUUGCGAGUCGGUGACGGCGAGCUAAUCUCUUAAAGCCAAUCUCUAGGUUCGGAUUGUAGGCUGCAACUCGCCUACAUGAAGUCGGAAUCGCUAGUAAUCGCGGAUCAGCACGCCGCGGUGAAUACGUUCCCGGGCCUU
RNAcentral lists this ribosomal RNA (237 nucleotides) under uncultured Streptococcus sp. RNAcentral describes it as "partial 16S ribosomal RNA". It matches the Rfam family "Bacterial small subunit ribosomal RNA", at positions 1148 to 1382 of the family's 1533-position model. The record is from RNAcentral. Lineage: Bacteria; Bacillati; Bacillota; Bacilli; Lactobacillales; Streptococcaceae.